This 128-nucleotide non-coding RNA is filed under the name Chelydra serpentina (North American snapping turtle). The record is from RNAcentral. Lineage: Eukaryota; Metazoa; Chordata; Testudines; Chelydridae.
AUGUUGUAUGAAAGGAGAGAAGGUUAGCACUCCCUUUGAUAAGGAUGGAAGAGGUCCUAGUAACCUUUACAACAUGCAUAUGGUUAAGACAUUGCCACUUACUUAAUGGCUCCUGACCAAGUUUUUUA